UACGUAGGUGGCAAGCGUUGUCCGGAUUUACUGGGCGUAAAGAGCGCGCAGGCGGUCGAAUAAGUCGAAUGUGAAAGCCCCCGGCUCAACUGGGGAGGGUCAUUCGAUACUGUUCAACUCGAAGGCAGGAGAGGGAAGCGGAAUUCCCGGUGUAGUGGUGAAAUGCGUAGAUAUCGGGAGGAACACCAGUGGCGAAGGCGGCUUUCCGGCCUGUUCUUGACGCUGAGGCGCGAAAGCCAGGGGAGCAAACGGG
RNAcentral lists this ribosomal RNA (253 nucleotides) under uncultured bacterium. RNAcentral describes it as "partial 16S ribosomal RNA". It matches the Rfam family "Bacterial small subunit ribosomal RNA", at positions 524 to 776 of the family's 1533-position model. The record is from RNAcentral.